GGCAGCCGCGGUAAUUCCAGCUCCAAUAGCGUAUAUUAAAGUUGUUGCAGUUAAAAAGCUCGUAGUUGAAUUUCGGGAUCAGUUGAUCGGUCGUGCCUCGGUACGUACUGGUCAAAUUGAUUCCUACCUUCUGACGAACCACGAUGUCAUUAAUUUGGUGUCGCGGGAAAUCAGGACUGUUACUUUGAAAAAAUUAGAGUGUUUAAAGCAGGCUCGCGCUUGAAUACAUUAGCAUGGAAUAAUGAAAUAGGACGUUUGAUUCUAUUUUGUUGGUUUCUAGGAUCGACGUAAUGAUUAAUAGGGAUAGUUGGGGGCAUUAGUAUUCAAUUGUCAGAGGUGAAAUUCUUGGAUUUAUUGAAGACUAACUACUGCGAAAGCAUUUGCCAAGGAUGUUUUCAUUAAUCAAGAACGAAAGUUAGGGGAUCGAAGACGAUCAGAUACCGUCGUAGUCUUAACCAUAAACUAUGCCGACUAGGGAUCGGAUGAUGUUAAUUUUUUAAUGACUCAUUCGGCGCCUUAC
This 520-nucleotide unclassified non-coding RNA is filed under the name uncultured Glomus. RNAcentral's name for it is "SSU rRNA". It matches the Rfam family "Eukaryotic small subunit ribosomal RNA", at positions 569 to 1091 of the family's 1831-position model. The record is from RNAcentral. Lineage: Eukaryota; Fungi; Glomeromycota; Glomeromycetes; Glomerales; Glomeraceae.